UACGUAGGGGGCAAGCGUUGUCCAGAUUUAUUGGGCGUAAAGAGCGUGUAGGCGGCCAUACAGGUCCGUUGUGAAAACUGGAGGCUUAACCUCCAGACGUCGAUGGAAACCGUAUGGCUAGAGUCCGGAAGAGGAGAGUGGAAUUCCUGGUGUAGCGGUGAAAUGCGCAGAUAUCAGGAAGAACACCCGUGGCGAAGGCGGCUCUCUGGGACGGUACUGACGCUGAGACGCGAAAGCGUGGGGAGCAAACAGG
This 253-nucleotide ribosomal RNA is filed under the name uncultured bacterium. RNAcentral describes it as "partial 16S ribosomal RNA". It matches the Rfam family "Bacterial small subunit ribosomal RNA", at positions 524 to 776 of the family's 1533-position model. The record is from RNAcentral.